ACCCUCGUCCUUAGAUGAUUGGACUCUCUGCCUAACCUUCUAGAGCAUGAGACUCUUAAUCUCAAGGUUGUGGGUUUGAGCCCCACAUUGGGUG
This is a non-coding RNA of Podarcis lilfordi (Lilford's wall lizard), 94 nucleotides long. Lineage: Eukaryota; Metazoa; Chordata; Lepidosauria; Squamata; Lacertidae. The record is from the annotation of a GenBank genome assembly.